GGGUAAGUCUUGUGCGACCAGCUCCCUAAGAAUCCCCCAGGACAGGAAUGUAGCAAGGGUAUUAGGUUGUAGCGGUGCGAUAUAAGUAGCUUACCCUUU
RNAcentral lists this signal recognition particle RNA (99 nucleotides) under Flavobacteriales bacterium. RNAcentral describes it as "signal recognition particle sRNA small type". It matches the Rfam family "Bacteroidales small SRP". From Rfam's summary of the family: The non-coding component of the signal recognition particle in Bacteroides The record is from RNAcentral. Lineage: Bacteria; Pseudomonadati; Bacteroidota; Flavobacteriia; Flavobacteriales.